This 412-nucleotide ribosomal RNA is filed under the name uncultured Singulisphaera sp. RNAcentral describes it as "bacterial SSU rRNA". It matches the Rfam family "Bacterial small subunit ribosomal RNA", at positions 355 to 776 of the family's 1533-position model. The record is from RNAcentral. Lineage: Bacteria; Pseudomonadati; Planctomycetota; Planctomycetia; Isosphaerales; Isosphaeraceae.
UCGAGAAUCUUCGGCAAUGGGCGCAAGCCUGACCGAGCGACGCCGCGUGGAGGACGAAGGCCUUCGGGUUGUAAACUCCUGUCGAGGGGGAAGAAGCCGCAAGGUUGACUGAACCCUGGAGGAAGCACGGGCUAAGUUCGUGCCAGCAGCCGCGGUAAGACGAACCGUGCGAACGUUAUUCGGAAUCACUGGGCUUAAAGCGCGUGUAGGCGGAACGGCACGUCGGUCGCUGAAAGCCCCCGGCUCAACCGGGGAACGGGCGCCGAUACGACCGUUCUGGAGGGACGUAGGGGGACCUGGAACUUCCGGUGGAGCGGUGAAAUGCGUUGAGAUCGGAAGGAACGCCCGUGGCGAAAGCGAGGUCCUGGACGUUUUCUGACGCUGAGACGCGAAAGCCAGGGGAGCGAACGGG